ACCGUCUACAAGGUGCGUGAGUGAGGAACCGAGACUGAGGCAUGAAAAUGGGAUGAAAAGCAAGUUUUGCCGCAUACAUCAUGAAAUCGACGAAAAGAACGGCAGGACAUUGCUGCUUUUGAAAUACUACGCCCAGUGUACCAGCCGAGGAAGAGUCAGGCUGGGAUGAUCUUUCAACCAAAUUAUUCUCCUAUAAGUUCCCAUUUGAUGACAAGACAGAAGAGUCUCUUUUUGUGAGGAGAGGACCCCGGAGACAACUGCAUUCGACAAAGGAAGCCCAAGGAAGGUACGCUCACAGCACAUAUACUAAUUAAAGCCAUGAACAAAAUGGCAAAAUAAGGAUUGGUUUAUAAUGGAAGUAAAACACGUUUUACUUUUACAUAUGGUGUCUUAAUUGAAAUCUCCACAAAGUAGCCAUUCUUACAAUUGUUUAUUGUUUUAACAUUGUCAUGAAAAUAUAUGUGGAUACGAAAUUUCUUUGUAACUGAAGUGAGGUACUUACGAUUGUCCAAUAAUGAUGAAAAAGGAGGAUCCACAAGAUCCUAAUUAUUAAAUUAUUGAAUUUAAUUUCUCUUGACAUGAUCAAAUACGCUACAAAAGUAUGACAACAAAACUCAUGUAGCCAUUAUGAGGCCGUUUAAGCAAAGCUCAAUUAUUGACCUGGAAAAAAAAAAGAAGUGACAGUGGUUCUUGAAAAGCUCAUGAUGAUUACCACUUCCUGUCUGGUCUAUUGGCUGUAGGCCAACAUAGCCAUGUGUCAAGAUCCCCCAUACAUGGGAACAUGACACUGAUGAUGACACCACAGGAGAACACAUCAGCACAGCCCAGCCACCCAUUACAAAUGACAUUUCAAUUUGACAGCAAACAUGUCUGAACUAAAUCAUCUAUAAAUAAUAAAUAUGUUUCUGAUCUUUAGAAUAAUACAAUACUGAUAUGAUGCAGUUGCACACAAAACACUUCAAUCUCAAUGAUUUGAUUAUCUCUUAUUAUUUUGCUUGGGUUUUGAAGAAUUUGUAUGUUUUUUUGAAUUGGAUGACAGACAAUAGUUAUGCCUCUGUCACCUGCAUGUGUUGCAUCAUCAAAUGCUGUAUUGCUCAGCUCCUUGUGUCCAUGUCCAGUACGGUAUUUUCGCUUUAUUUGUCGGUGCUGCACGUUAGCGGUGGCUCUGUCAAUCAAUGCUAAUGGGAGAGACCUAUGAGACAGAGGAACGUGCGUCACACACACGCACACACACGCACACAUACACACACACACACACACACACACACACACACACACACACACACACACACACACACACACACACUCAGGCAACACUGAGGAAAGUGCGUCACACACACACACACACACACACACACACACACACACACUCAGGCAACACUGAGGAAAGUGCGUCACACACACACACACACACACACACACACACACACACACACACACUCAGGCAACACUGAGGAAAGUGCGUCACACACACACACACACACACACACACACACACACACACACACACACACACACACACUCAGGCGGCACCAACGUUUUUGGUAUGUCAUCAUCACAUCUCAUAUGAGUGAACGGCGAAGCCAAAAGGGCCCCUGGUGCAGCUGGGCCAGCGCGCCGCUCGGCUCGCCUCCUCUCCUCGCCUCCUCUCCUCUCGUCUCCUCUCCUCUCGUCUCCACUCCUCUCCUCUCCUCUCCUCUCCUCUCCUCUCCUCUCCUCUCCUCCUUUCCUCUCCUCUCCUCUCCUCUCGUCUCCACUCCUCUCCUCUCGUCUCCACUCCCUCAGGCAGAUUAAGCUUUAGGAAGUAGAGCGCGGCGGAGGGAUGACACAGCUAAAAUUAACCAGCAGCCUGCCUGUUGAAUGACGGGCUUAUAAAUAUCUCACACAGGAAGAACCAGAACGGCACUGUCACCCCCCCCCCCCCCCCCCACACACACACACACACACACACACCACCCUCCUCUCUCUCUCUCUCUCUCUCUCUCUCUCUCUCUCUCUCUCUCUCUCUCUCUCUCUCUCUCUCUCUCUCGCUCACUGUCAUGUGCACAUUAUUAGCAUGUAAUGCACUGACUUAGGUGUACCUCAAAGGUAAACACAGCCUCAUCCUCCCUCUACCCCUGGAGACAAGUUUGAGUUGGUAAAGGGCAGACACCAUGACUGGCAUUUAAAGGGUUUGGGGAUUGUCAAGCUCAUUGACAAUAGCAUCCCCACCACCACACACCCCUGUUCGCAGUGAUUCCCAGGCCAGUGUUUAAAGGAAGAAAUUUAGUAAUAAACGUUCUCGAAGAAAUUGUACAAUUGUUCAGACUUACUGUAAGUUCUAAUGAUUAAAUAGAAUUUAAAUCACGGAAAGAAAGCAGGCCAAGAAACCCCCGCAGCCGUUAAGUGCUGUAAUGGCUAACAAAAGUACCUGUGGAGAUUUUUAUUUUUAUUUUUUUUGCCGCCAGCCAUGCUUGUGCAUGUGAACUACCUAAUAAAAAACCCAUCAGCUGUCCUUGUUUGAGCACCACACACACACACACACACACACACACACGGACACACGGACACACACACACACACACACACACACACACACACACGGACACACACACGCAGCCACCACCAGUUCAUAACCUUCCGUUGAGCUUUGUCAGUGUGUGUGUGUGUGUGUGUGGGUGUGUGUGUGUGUGUGUGGGAGGCCUGCGAUGGGGUUUUGAUGACUCACUCAGGCCUAUAGCCUGUAUGCAGAGUUGACAGGCUGCCCAGGCAGGGCCUGCCCUCAGCCCUGUGCCUCCUCCACACUCUCCCUGUCUGCUACCACCUGUGACCCAUUAGCCAAAACACUUUGAUGCACCACAUUCCAUAUGUUUCCCCAGCAGGUGAGAGUAAGACGGACCAAAUAUGAAAGUGGAUCCUUUUAUCAAUAGGCUAAACCGGGCUCCCAAAGAAUAAACCCAGGAAGCUCACCUAUACACAUUUACUGUAAUCCCUGAUCGCAUGGGCAGAUAGGACCUCCGUGUUUGCUGGGUCUCUGUUGGCAGUGCUGGAGAGCCAAUGAAACAUAUUUUUUUAAUUUCCAAAACUGUUAUACUAAGGUCAUAACACAGCAACUACAAAGUAUAGUGGCGAAAAAUAUUACAUCUUCUUCCAUUUUUAUGAGAUUUUUCACCUUGAAUCCGUUGACAUCUGAAAGGCUAAGUAGUAAUUCGUAGCAUUUGGAUUUUCAACACAGAUUUGAUUUCUCCAGGAUGUUAUCUCUGUGGUGAAAAGGAAGCUCUACACAAUGUUUUAGGUGUCACGUUGCGUUGCCAUAGCAUCCCGUGCGUGGUUCAUUCGGAUUCAAUUUCCUCUUCCGCAUACCCAUUGUAUACAUUGUAUUGUAUACAUUGCACAUCACAUGUAUAGGUUCUCUGGCAGACACACGCUGUACAGAUCCUAAUCAAUAGGGUUUUAUGUAGGCUUUAUGAUAAAGGAGACGAGCGCUAUACUGUGCUACUGCACACACACCUGUGUUGGUUUUUGGUCUGUCUACUUCCUGCUCUAUGCUGUGACUGGCCCGCUGACUGUACCCUUAACUGCAAGUCGAGUCACGUAAACAAAUGUGUCCUGGUUUGCCCGCUGCAUAGCCUACAACAACAGAGCAUCCUCUUCAGCUCGCACGAUGAAAGUCCUUAUUUUCUGCGGUGUAAAGCUUGUGGUGGUGGUGGUGGUGGUGUGGCAUGCAUACCCUGACAGAGAGUGUGUAGUCAUAGCCUGCUGUGGUCAAGCAGCUGGUCGUAGGUUUCCCAGCAGGGACCAAUAGUCAAGCAGGCAGAUGCUCCCGAAACACAGGGUCACGAAACAGUCGCCGGAAGAAAUUGUGUGUGUUUGUGUUUGUUUGUGUUUGUGUGUGUGUGUGUAUAUGAGUUAGAGAGAGAGAGAGAGAGAGAGAGAGAGAGAGAGAGAGAGAGAGAGAGAGAGAGAGAGAGAGAGAGAGAGAGAGAGAGAGAGAGAGAGAGAGAGAAAUUAUCUCCAGGAAACUUCUAGUGUCCAUUGAUUCAUUAAAAGCUUUAUCCGUAGCCAGGGAAGUGCGAAGUGCGAGAAGGGGGAGGGGGGGGGGUCUCUUUUUGUGCAUAUGUUUUUGUGUGUGAGUCUCAUUAUCUGUAAACUAAGACACUUAACACGGUGGUUCACAUACAGCCUUACGCAUUUGUCAUUGUCUGUCUCUCCUAUGUAUUCUCAUGUUACGAUCGAUUUCACAAACAUAUUGCAGAUACAUACAGUAUCUACCUCUUAAAGGCACAGUGUCUCCAGCGACUCAACAAUGAUUGCCGACAAGACUGACUUCCGAUCAGAACUUGGCAUUAUGACCUGAAAGAGAAAUUAAAUGGAAUUUUGAUUGAUUACUAUAGCCUUGGCAUCAAGCUAAUCACUAGGAUGGCAUUUUGUUUUCAUUGCGUUUGCAUCAACUCCCACUACUGUCCCACUUCUGCUCCGAAGUUAAAUUAGGGCUGUAAGAGGCUUAUGUGUCUGUGUGCUUUGUCAUCUCCUUGCUGCCAGUGACGUGUGGUGACACAUGACCCUGAUUCAGCUCAUCUUAUCUCAUCUCAACUAGGGUAGAUGUGUAUGGGAAAAGCACCAUGGGAAUUGUAGUUUCAUAUGUAGCUUCUUCUGAAUGUAAAGUAUUAACAUGCCUACUUCUAAAAGCCUUUACAAUGGCAAUUCUUUGUAUUAUUUCUGAAGUAUCUUGAGCUGGGCUCACUAUUGACCAUUGUGAGGAAAGAAACGCUCCAUGAAAAGACAAUUUCAAAACAAAAUAGAACAUUCAGGAGCAUACCUGUAGAGUAUAGGCGAGUAAGUACAGAUUGUUAGUGCACAGUCUUUGUAAGACAGUGUUGUUUUCUGCAAACAGACGGAAACAGUCAAGGGAAUGUUCAUUUGUCUAUUCAUAUAAUGACUCAUGCAAGCAUCGACUGACUUGUUAAGGUGAUUAAUUAGUUAAUUAUUCAUUAAUUGGUCAUUCAUUAGCAGCUUCUUAGAUCUUUUUAGCGUGGUAACAUAAAAUCACUGGAAUUUUGGUUACAUUUUCAGGAUUAGUUUUUGGGACCACCCUAUUAUCCUCUAUUUAAAUGGCCGCAACAAUGCUCUCGUUGGAUUUCUCGUUGUGGCGUGGAGUCUUUGAGUCUUCAUUGAGUUUUUUUUGCUUUUACACUACAAAGCAGAGGAGGAUGAAAUAGAGCUGUCUUGUCAGUGGUCUGCGCUCUCUGAGCACCGUUGUAGUUAUUCAUACCAAAUCUGGUUUAAAGGAGACCUCAAGCUCAUUUUUAAACUCGAAGAAGUUGUCGGUCGGCUUACACUGAAUGUCGACAUAAUAGCCAAUAAUGCCAGUAGUAAAGUCCUUGUACGUUUACAAUAACUCCAUGCUGAUGCCAUGUGUUCCCAGUCAGCAGUGGGAUGUUUUGGGCGAGAUGUCUGACGAAUCUGUGACCUGCUGCCUUCGUCUUCGUCAUGGUUAGGCAACGACCCUCUGGAUGGUUGACGAUUUCCUCUGUGGCGUGCUUCUCUGUUGCCAUAGUAACCCUUACGUGUGGACACAGUGGCAAAAAAAACAGGAAGCGGAAAUCCAUGACAUAUUCAUGCGAUAACCCACAGUGGGUGCAUCCCAAUAUGUGUCCUUGCCUCCUCCACUUGUGCUUGUCUCCUCGUCCCGCCUCCUGGCCCCUCCUCCGUGGAGAAAACGAUAAAGUUUCCCAGCUGUCAUCCUCGCCACAACAACUUUUGAGGGACUGUUUUUCAUUCACCAUCCCAAUUGCAAAUGAGAAAAAGACUUUAGAAUUGAGCUUUUGCAAGAUAUUGAAAUAUAAUGCUGUUGUCAGUGAUGUCAUCAUGACGAGAAGCAAGUGGAGGAGGCAAGUGGAGGAGGCAAGGUCACAUAUUGGGAUGCACCCGAAGACUCCCUCAGCCUCUCAAGCCUCUCCAUCCUGGCAGCGAAUAAUACUAUGUGUCAUAUUCAUGCGAUAACCCACAGUGCGAAUGAAGACUUCCUCAGCCUCUCAAGCCUCUCAAACCUCUCCAUCCUGGCAGCGAAUAAUACUGUGUGUCAUCAGCAACAGCAGCAUCAUCAUCCUUCGAAAGGGUGGAGCCAAGUGGGGUUGGGGGGAGGGAGGGAAGAGAAGGGGAAAAGGGACUCAGGUGCCGACACGACCACGCAGCGCAGCUCCUGCACACACGAUUUAGACACAGACAGGCAGGGGCUGGCGGGGAGGGCUGCACUUCUGUCUGAGACCAUUCCACGAUUUCCUCCUCCGCUGAAGCCAAAGCUGAUGUUCCCGCUGUUGCUAAUGGAGUCGCUCUACUUGUGUAUGUGCCUGCUGUGUGUUGUAUAUAUCUGAGAGGCUACCGGAUGAAAACAAGAGAGAGCAGAGCAGAGCAGAGCAGCAUCCCAGCUGUUAUGUAACCUCUUCCCUGUAUAGCCUCAACAUGCGCCUUUAAAAAAAAAAAAAAAAAAAACAAGGAAGGGAGGGAGUAUUUAAAAAAAAAGGAAAAGAGGAAUCAGGUGACCAGGCUCUCUCUCUCUCUCUCGGGCACAGGAGAGUGUCUCCACUCUCCACUCACGGCUUAACUGCAGGGAGGCGAAGGGUUGGUCAGGGUGGAGGAGGAGUCGAGCGAAAGGAGUGUGUACAUGUGUGUGUCUCGCGCCGCGCAAGAGGACUGCUGUUAAGGCCAAAUGCCCAAUUACAAAUGGGCACAUAGAAGUGAGCGAGAGAGAGAGAGAGAGAGAGAGGAGCAGUAGGAGAGAGGAGGGGUACAGAAGGGACAGUUACAGGAAGGUGGUUCUAUCUCUUUAACAGAGCUCUCUCUCUCUCUCUCUCUCUCUCUGUCUCUCUCUCUCUCUCUCUCCCUCUCUCUCUCUCUCCCUCUCUCUCCCUGGAUCAUUACAGGGUAGUAGGCAGUACUCGUUUUACCUCCGUUGCGUUGCGUUGUUGAUGUUGGUGUUGCUGCUGCUGCUGCUGCCGCCGCCGCCGGUUCCACCAGUAUCACCACUGGCUGUUUCUGCCGACACUGCUGCUGCCCCCGCGACAGAGAAGCCCCCCAGAAGCACCGGUGCGCAUGUAGCGACAAACAGUGGGCAUAGAGAGAGAGAGAGAGAGAGGGAGAGGGAGAAGUCUAGGGAGAGAGAGAGAGAGAGAGGUCUAGAGAAUUACAUGCUGCGUCAUAUUGAGGUAGAGAGGGAGAGGGAGGGAGGUAGAGAGAAAGAGAGGGAGAGGGAGAGAGAAUACGGGAAGGGACGGGGGACAAAUCAGGGAGGGAG
This is a long non-coding RNA of Engraulis encrasicolus (European anchovy), 7273 nucleotides long. RefSeq lists it as uncharacterized. NCBI's taxonomy places the organism in Eukaryota, Metazoa, Chordata, Actinopteri, Clupeiformes, Engraulidae. The record is from RefSeq and is a predicted model, not a curated record. The transcript is spliced from 3 exons.